This 457-nucleotide ribosomal RNA is filed under the name uncultured bacterium. RNAcentral's name for it is "partial 16S ribosomal RNA". It matches the Rfam family "Bacterial small subunit ribosomal RNA", at positions 338 to 795 of the family's 1533-position model. The record is from RNAcentral.
CCUACGGGUGGCAGCAGUGGGGAAUAUUGCACAAUGGGGGAAACCCUGAUGCAGCGACGCCGCGUGAGUGAAGAAGUAUUUCGGUAUGUAAAGCUCUAUCAGCAGGGAAGAAAUAAAGUCCUUCGGAUUUUGGACGGUACCUGACUAAGAAGCCCCGGCUAACUACGUGCCAGCAGCCGCGGUAAUACGUAGGGGGCAAGCGUUAUCCGGAUUUAUUGGGUGUAAAGGGAGCGUAGACGGCAGCGCAAGUCUGGAGUGAAAUCCCAUGGCUUAACCAUGGAACUGCUUUGGAAACUGGGCAGCUGGAGUGCAGGAGAGGUAAGCGGAAUUCCUAGUGUAGCGGUGAAAUGCGUAGAUAUUAGGAGGAACACCAGUGGCGAAGGCGGCUUACUGGACUGUAACUGACGUUGAUGCUCGAAAGCGUGGGUAGCAAACAGGAUUAGAUACCCCAGUAGUC